This 1490-nucleotide long non-coding RNA is filed under the name Gallus gallus (chicken). Its description in RNAcentral is "long non-coding RNA NONGGAT004051". The record is from RNAcentral. Lineage: Eukaryota; Metazoa; Chordata; Aves; Galliformes; Phasianidae.
CUGCUUCUUAUGUAAGUUUUCCUCCUUCACACAAUUUUCUCUUCUGAAGGAAAAUGAAGCAUUUGUUUUUUGUUGUAAAAAGAGAUUCUUGAAAGAGUUAACAAAAAACAAAAGCUUUUCUUGCAAUUUGAAAGAUCUUGGUGACAUGUCAUUUUUCCAGAAAAAAAGUCUGCAAUAGCUCAGGAUUUCCAUGAGUAGUCUGGAUUUCGUGGGAGGAAAGAUGAUGGCAGGAAGUAACUGAGUACAUCUACAGCUGAUUGUCUCAACCUUCCUGGCUCUGAACUAUGUGUGCUAAGUGCUGCCCUAUGUGCAUUUUCAUACAAAGCAGUUUCUUGAAUUAAUAGAAUACAGCAGAAAGGGAUUUGAACUUCCACUCAUCCUGCUACCACUGAUGUGCACCGUAAUUGCCAGGCACAGACAACACAGUCUACUUGUCUCUAUUUUCUUCCUUCGUGAGUCAGAGAGAAUACAAUGAGCGAGCAGUAGUUAGAAUUGGUCAGAUUAGUAAAUGAAUAAGCUAUUUAGUGUAAUGAAUAAAGCAUUAUUCAAAGUCUGCUUUUUAAAUACCCUUUUCCUCAGCUCAGUGAGCCUUGAAAAAAGGCAUAUCAGAAACUAGACAUUACUAGACAUUACUUCCAAGCUGAAUUUACCCCUUUACAAGGGGUCUCCGUUUACAGAAAAAGCAGAUCAAUACAUUGAAAAAGGUAACAGUAUGAAUGACUGCAAGAAAAGUAGAGAAACAAAAUCUGUGGUUCACAUGUGUUGCUCUGUUGUGCUCAUGGGUGAGCAUUCACAUGAGCAGAGAUGCCUUUAUUUUGCCCACUAAAAUUCUCCUUAUGUUUUCUUUCCAGCAAGUGGAGAAACUCCUCCAGACGUAGUCGCUGCAGAAGCCUGGGGUCAGUGCACAGCUCGCUGCCUGCGGGAACCACCUUCUUUACAGGCUUCUGAAAAAUAAGCACAUUGCUCAGCCAUGUUAGGUCUUUCAUGUUGCGUGCUCCACACUAAAGAAAUAAGCUAGCAUUGUGAAAGAGACUGCCUGGUGACCGUCCCACCAUCUCUGUUGCUCACAGGAAACCACUACUGCUGCACUUGGGACAACACUGAUUCUUCUGUGUCUGAAGUUGUGGCUUCAAAUUGCAGUAAAGCUGAUAAAAUAACCAGCUGCUGUGAAAAGAAGUGUCCUCAUACUUCCCCUCUUGCAUGUAAUCUCCCUUGUGCUAGCUGUGGUCUGUGCCUGGUCCCAUGGUAAACUGGUGCAGGGAGAUGGCCAGCAACAUGCCACCCUCCUCAAAGAAGUAGUUCUCAGUGUGGAGUUGUCUUAGUCAAGUUUGUCAUUAAACAGCAGCAAGCACAAGAAACUACUGAGCAUUUUUUUCACAUGUGCAGGAAAAGAUUGAGGUUGUUUUAUUAUUUUACAAACCAAAAGAUCCAAAAUACCCCGUAUGGUAUUUUAUUACAUUAUCUCUUAUUCCUUGGAACCUAUCAUAGAA